Long non-coding RNA from Balaenoptera acutorostrata (minke whale), 8406 nucleotides. RefSeq lists it as uncharacterized. The record is from RefSeq and is a predicted model, not a curated record. The transcript is spliced from 8 exons. Lineage: Eukaryota; Metazoa; Chordata; Mammalia; Artiodactyla; Balaenopteridae.
AGGCGGUCCCCGCGCGGUCACCCGGGUCCGGGAGCGCACCCUCCGGUGACUCUUCUAUCCCGGCCUCUGGUCCCAGCGGCGGGGGAAGUUCCUGGGACCGGCCGGGUUUAAGAGACUAAGAUGUCUUCACCAGCCACCUCCCCUUCAGCAAUGACUCUGAUCACGUUUCUGUGGUGUCAUCCUUCUCUGCCUGGCCUGUGCUUUGAAGGCAGCAGGUGUCAGAUGUAGUCACUUCUGAAGUUCAUCAUCCAAGUGGGCAUCUUUGACCUGCUCUACUGGACUGACUGCAAAAAUGCCUCAUCCCCUGCUUGGUCCAUAGUGAUGCCAGCCUGUGGUAAUUGGAACCUGGUCUGCCAGACCAAAUGGAGGAAGUCUGCCAGGCAGAUGUGGAACCCAAAAGAGGAACUUCACCAACUGCUGUGGACAGCUCUAGCACUUCAUGCCCCCGUGGACUUUUGGGGAAGUAUUUUUGUGGCUCACCAGUCUCUCAUUAGGCAAAGGUCACUUGUCCUGUCUUGGCCUUCUCUACUGGUGGAAAGUACGGCUGGGAGAUUUGGAAUGGUUGCUGUUUGACUUUGAUUCUUGGCACGACUGUCACCAUGAGCUUUUUUGCUGACUCACUCUUGCUGCAGCAUGGAAGGAUGGAUUGGAGGGGAAGCAGAAAGGCCAUCAGCCCCACUGUGAACUACUGUGGAAUAGGCAGGGGAGGAUUGCUUCAUGGUCAAAAGAUGGCUGUUGGAGAUCCAGUCUGCGUGUCUCAAACAGGAAGAAGGAGAAAGGACCAAAUGCAAAUGGUACAUAAUAGCAGAGUAUACCCUCUUUGAAUGAUUUCCUGGAAGCCCCACACCAAGGUACUCAAAGAAUGCUGCUCAUUAAGAUUGGAAGCACGGAGGAGGGGAGUGUGAGGCUCAGCGAGGUGCAGUCGGAGGAGGCUUCCCGGGCGAGCGGUAUCUGGGUUGUAUUCAGGCCAAGGGGGGAGCCGGUAAAGAAGGUGGGGAGGGUGUCACAAGCAGAGGGAGCGGCACGCAGGUGUGAAAGCUCGUGGUGUGUGCUCAGAGCUCAUGGUGAGAAACGUCUGGUGAGUCUGGGCCCCAAGGUCAAGGUAGGAAGCAGGACAGGCUGAGGUGGAGAGGAAGGCAGUGUUUGGGACUUGGACAGCUUGUGUGCCAUGAUGAGGAGCCCGCAGCCCUGCCGCCCCAUCUCCUGGGGAUGGUUUCUGAGGGUGGAUGUGAUCACAUUCACAGACAGGGAAUUAGCUGAUCUGAACAAUGCUUGGAUUAUUGGCAUCUGUCAGCUGCUACCUGUUAACCAAAGGCCCAAGGCUCAAACUCUGCCAGGCUCCUCUGGGAACAGGCCAAGAAUCAAAUAAUGAUGGCCACUUUGGCAGAAAGGGAAUGCUAAUAGCUGGAGGCUGAUCUUAUGACUGGAAGAAAGGAAGGCUGUUGUAGGUUUUCAUAGGGAUAGAAAAACAAGUUCACGCUAGGUUUCUACAGGGCUUUAUUCCCCAUUAGCAGAUAAGAACAGAUUUGUUUAUCAGAUUCUCCUAGAAAUUAAGGUGUUAAGGCAGCUGAAGAGGUAAAUUCUGAGGUGAGAGGAGGAGGAGGUGCUGGGGAGACAGGGGUACAUUAUAGUUAAGGGACGACAGGGACAGCGAAGGGCCAGCUGGGGCCUCAGCAGGGAGGUUGAGUAGAAAGAGCUCUUGACACAAGUUCAAAGUCUUGGGGCCACCUCUGACCCCAAGUUCCCAGAAACAACAUACAGUGUUCUGUAAAACAUGGAUGAUAACACUUGCUCGACUGGCCUGACCAGGCUGUUUGAUCAAAUGAGAAAAUAUACGUCUGCAAAGACACUUUGUGAGGGGCACCUUGAAUAAAAUCCAACCUCCGCCUCAAUCUCCCAGGCCUUCUGACGGAUUAUAGGACACACCAGCCUCUUUCCCACCUUUGUCCACAUGUUCCUUUUUCUGCCUAGAACAUUCUUCUGCCAGUUCUUUCUACAGUUCAUCUCAGUUUAUAUGCCACUUCCUCAGAAAGGCCUUCCCUGCCCUAUUGAAAACACGCACUCCCCUCUGACCCUCUCCUGCCCAAGAUAGCUUGUGGUUAAGGACUCAGGCUCUGAAGCAAGUCUCUGGGGUUCAAGUUCAGCUCUGACACAUACCAGCUGUGUGACCUUGGGCAGUCACCCAAACUCCUUGUGCUUCUGUUUCCACAUGUGUAAGAUGAAGAUCAUAAUAUUUAUCUCACAAAGUGGUAGAGACAAAGAUGACUUCAUUAGGUGUCAGCUAUUAUUACUGUUCAUCAGAGUGCUCUAUUUCCUUUCUAGAACUAACCAUGUCUGUAAUUAAUUUGUCUGUAUAUGUUUAUUAUCCAACACUCACCCUUUUCCAUAAUGGGCUCCCCAUGAGGGCAGCGAUCAUGUCUUGCUGAUCCAUUCUUAUAUACCAUGUGUAUAGCACAGUAUAGCCUGGAACCUAGAAGAUGCUCAAGAAAUAGUUGUUGGAUGAGGAAUGUACUGAAUGAGCAUUUCCCAGAACCAAGCCCUGGGGUGACCCAGGCAGUCCCGGGACCAGCCAAGGAAGUGGUCAGAUGGCCCUGCUUUGCAUUUCAUUCUCCCCUUGGUAGGGCUUUCACUUAUGUAAUGGAACAGCAGUGAAAUCCCACGAUACCUAAGUACUUCCCCUCCAGCCAGCCCAGUAUACGACCACAAAAAGGGGGAAGAAAAAGUAAGAGAAAGAGAAGAGCUCCAAACUGCAUGCUUCUUGGGACAGAAAAAUGAGCUCUGUUUUCUCCCAGAGUCAUGUGAGGGCACAGUGGCAGAUGGGGGGGAAUGUUUUACUGAGCUUCAGAGCAACCAAGCAGUGAAGAAUCAAGGGCCCCAGCCUGAGUGUCAGCAGUUGAGGCUUUUUCCACCUCUGCACCUAACUUGCUGUGCAACCUUCAUCAAGUGACUUUCCCUCUCUGGGUCUCCUAAAUGUCCUCAUCUGCAAAUUGAAGAGAUUGGAAUAAAUGAUUAAGGUAGAGCCGUCAUGCAGUCCUGGUUUUGCCUAUAGAUCUGGUAUAAUAAUUAACAAUAACCUCUUUCAUUCUCUAAGUGACCUGUACUAGGUGAUAAAUUAUAAAAUCAGUUUGAUUCAAAUCACUCCGUUUCCAUUUUUUGGAUAUGAUAAACAAUACUGCAGUGAAGUUCCUCAUACAUUCCUUUAUUCAACAAAUAUUUGAUAAGCACCUGUUAUGUACAAGGUAUGGUUCUAUGCUCUGGGGAUACUGGAGGAAUAAGAUAGAUAAGAUAACUGUGGAAAAUACAUUCUUGUGAGGGAGAUAGAUAAUAAACGAGAAAACAACAACAACAAAAUAAAUUUUAGCUAGUUAUGAAGAAAAUAAAGGAGAACAAUGUGCUAGAUAGUGAUAGGAGGUGCUACUUUAUAAAGUGUGGCGGGGGAAGGUCUCUUUGAAGAGGUCACAUUUGAGCUGAGACCUGAAUGAUAAGAAGGAGCCAGUUAUGCAAAGUCCCAGGGAGAAUGUACAGCAAAUGCAAAGACCCUGAGGUAGGAACAGCUCUUUGUGUUUGAAGAGUAGAAACAGAGACAGUAUGACUAAAGUACAGCAAGUGGUUGGAAAUGAGGUUAGACAUAUAGGCAGGGGCCAGAUCAUAUAGGGUCAAGGAGUUUGAGUUUUAUUCUUAGUGCAGAAUAUCUGGUUGUAUUUUAAUCACUGGAAAAUCAUAGAAUAAAACUAGCUCUAUGUAGAAUGGACUGUGAGCAAAAAACUUCAUGUAUCUGGUUAGCUACAGCACAGAAAGCCGUAACUUCACCCUAGGCUGUGUGGCACCCCGGGAGAGAAUGAACAGCAGAGUCAGAGAGAUCUGUGUUCAAAUUCCAGCUCCAUUGGUAUAUAUCCAAAAGAAGUGAAAGUGGCGUCUUGAAGAGAUAUUUGUAUGUCCAUGUUCAUAGCAACAUUAUUCACAAUAGCCACGAGAUGGAAACAACCCAAGUGUCCAUUCAUGAAUGAGUGGAUAAACAAAACGUAGUAUAUAAAUACAAUGGAAUAUUAUUCAGACUUGAAAAAGGAAGGAAAUUCUGACACAUGUUAAGGAAGGAAAUUCUGACACAUGUUACAAUAUGGAUGACCCUUGUGGGUAUUAUGCUAAGUGCAAUAAGCCAGAUACAAAAAAACAAAUACUUUAAAGUUCCACUUACAUGAGGUACCUAAAAUAGUCAGAUUCAGAGAGACGGAAAGUAGAACGGUGGUUGCCAAGGGCUAGGAAGAGGUGGGAAUGGGGAGUUGUUUAAUGGGCAUGGAGUUUCAGUUUUGCAAGAUGAAAAAGAAUUCUGGAGAUUGGCUGCACAGUAAUGUGCAUGUACUUAAUACUACUGAACUGUAUACUUAAAAAUGGUAAAAGAUAGUAAAUUUUAUGUUAUUUGUGUUUUACUAUAAUUAAAAAAAGGUUUUAAAAAAAAAAAAAGGUUUUAAAUUCCAGCUCCAUCACAUACGGGCAGUGUGAUUUGGCUGUUAAUCUCUCUGAGCCUCAGUUUUUGCAUAUGUAAAAGGGUGACAGUAAUACCUCCUAGCUCUUGUGUAGACAGGCUCAGAUGCUGUCUAUUCCAAUAUUCCACUGCACAAUUUGGAAUCUCAGGCUUCCCAGCCUUCCCAGGCAGCUAAAAGACCCUUUCAGUGAAUCUUGAUUGAGUUGCCCUUGUACCUAAUACACAGUAGAUGCUCAAUGAACAUUUGUUGAUUGACUUGCUGACUGGAUCCGCUUGUGUAGUAGACAUGAUCUAGAAGGAGCCAUAUGUGUAGAGAACUAUGUACCUGGUACCUAGUUGGCAUUCCAUAAAUAUUUAUGGAACAGGUGAAUGAACAAAGUGGAUGACACAUCUGGCCACGAAUUGUAAAACAAUCUGCCUGUUCCAAAAUAUAUGAGAGAUUUUUUUUUCCUAUCUGGUACCAUAAUAGUUGCUUCAGAAAGCAAACUAACUGAAAGCCCUGCUGACUGAGUCUCAUAUUAACAUCUGUAUUAGUUUUCUAUUGCUAGAAAAUAACUUCCACAAAUAUAGCGGUUUAAACAACACCAAUUUAUUACCUUACAGUUCUGUAGGUCAGACUUUUGACAUGGGUCUCAGCAGGGUAAAAUCAAGGUGUCAGCAGAGCUGUGUUCAUUACUGGAGGUUCUAGGGGAAGGAUCUGUUUCCUUGCACAUUUGGAUUGUUUGCAAAAUUCAGUUUCUUGUGGUUGUAGGACUGAGAUGCUGUUUCCUUGCUGGCUGUCAUUGAGGACUAUUCCCAGCUUCUAGAGCCACUCACAUUCCUUGACUUGUGUCCACUUCCUCCAUCUUGAAAGUCAGCAACUCUUCUUCUUCCCUCUCAUCUUUCUGACCCAGCACAGAAAGGUUCUCCAUCUUUAAGGAGCCAAGUAAUUAGAUUAGGUUCACCUGGAUAAUCCAGGAUACUCCUCCCAUCUCAAGGUCCUUAACCUUAAUCCCACUCAUGAAAUCCCCUGGAAAAAUUGAAAGAUUCUGGGGUUAAGUCAUGAAUAUCUUUGGAGGGUUAUUACUCUGUCUACCACUGCAUCCAGUAUCACUUUGGAAGGAUUGGCUUCUCAGAGCAGGUAAUUUUCUCUCAGCAAAGAGCUAUGGGAAAUGAGGCCAGUGGAAGGGAAUUUUGGAUAAAGGGAAGAGAGAUGAGGCAUUGACCAUAAAUGUGUUAGCAGGCCUGCGAGGGAUGCUACAGAAAGAGGUUCUUGGCUUCAUGGAAUCCAGGUUGCUCAAAGAAGAAAGAAAUACUUAACAAAUGCCAGAAAGUUAAACUUUGUGUGUCUUAUAGUUUCCUUUCUGAUUCUGAUCUGUUCUGCCAAGGAGGAAGUAAUCUUCACCUGCCAUGAAUAACCGUUAGUACCUUGCCCCAUGAUUUUAAUUUGUUAAUUGAUGGGUUGUUAUUGGUUCAUUGCUACCAAUAAUUGAAGGAUGUUUUCUUUGCUGGCUUGGUGAAGCUUCCAGAUGUUAUCAGAACAGGCAUGACUUUGGCUCACCCAGCUCAUGGCAUUGGCUCUGAAUGCUGUCAUGGCUCCGAUAGUGGGUUCAGCCACUAAUCAAGGACCUGGUGGUGUGUGACACAGACCUUUACGUCAUUUCUGGAUCUUCCUCUCCACAGAGUCCAGAUCUUACAACUGAAAACACUCCUUGGGAUUACCCAGCUCUCAACUUUCACAUUACAAGAAAGAAAACUGAAGGUGCAAAAAUGGCAGGUAGUUGGCCCAGCAGAUUUGGGGCAGAAUUGGGGUUGACCUCAGAUCUUCCCACCCUGACUGGGAGUCUGGCUGCCUAUCUACCCCCUCGCCCAGUGCCAAAAACACCUCCCGAUUCUAAAAGUCUUCUAGUAAAAUCGAUGCUCCAAGAAGAUAACCUGUGUUGACCAGUGACUUUGGAUAUCUUAUGUGUGGAUCCCAGCCUGGAGCUUUGUGUACUCAAGUUUGAGAAGCAUGGAUUAGCCAGGAGUUGGCAAACAUUUUUUUUUUUGUAAAGAGCCAGACAAUAAACAUUUAGGCUUUGUGAGCCAUACUGUUUCUGUUACAAAUACUCAACCCUGUCUUGUAGUGUAUCAAGAGCAGCCAUAGACAAUAUACAAAUGAAUUGGAUGGCUGUGUUCCAAUAAAACUUUAUUUACAAAACAAACAGAUUUGGCCCAUGGCCUGGAUUUGGCCUGCAGGCUGUAGUUUACCAACUCCUGGGUUCGACAAUAAAUGCCCAAGAGAUUAUAAAAGGAAAAUAUUUUCAGCUGGGACAAAUAAGAAAGAAGAGUGGGAGUAGAAAUUCCAUUGAUCAUUGAAGGCUACACAGUAUUUCAAAGAGCAGAGAGGACAUGGCAGCAUUAUUAAUAGAGGGCCAGUAUAGACAAAAGCGAGUAUUUUUAGGUUUACAUAUAGGUAGGGGACAGGGAGGACAGUAAGUAAAUCAGUUUGGCUUGAGGAAGGAACUCAUGUCCAAGAGAAGCAUUCUAAAAUAUCAGGGCUGGAAGGGACUUUGCUGAUUAUUUGCUUCUCAUUGUAUUUCCCAUUGAUGGGGAAAUCGAGGUCAAAAGAGACCCCAGAUCUGGAAAGAAGCUGAAGAGUGGUGUGCCUUGAAUACGAAUGUAAGGGAUCUCUGUUGUGCCAUGUACCAGCUAGUGAUGUUUCAGCAUUUCAUCAUUUGAAUGUUUAUUCAUUAAUCAACUUCCUACAUAUCCUGUGACCAGAUGUCCCAAGAGAAUUUCCUUUGGGAUGGAGUUAAUUCUCAUCCAUUGUAUACCAUUGUGAACUAGCCCCAUAGAGAUAGUGACAAGACACACCUGGAGCAAUCAACUGGACAAUUGCCAAGGAUCCAGAAACUUUAGCUUCUCCUCCUGCUGUCAACUUGCUCUGUAAUGUGGACCAAAUCCUGAGCUCUCCUCUGGUUUUCCCCUUGGUUAAACAAGAAGCACUCAUCCUUGUCCUUCCAUCAGAACCGGUGACCUGUUAUUCUGUCACUUCUCUGCCCCUUUCUCCCACCACCAACAUCAAAGUCAUAAAGGACCAGAGGACCCUGGAGUGGGAGGUGCCACAACUUUGCGUGACCCCGAUAUUCAUUCACUGAUUUGUUUUCCCACUAAUUAUUGACCACUUCCCAUGCACUGGAUGCUGAGGAUAAACAAUGAACGAGGUAAGCAGGCUUCUGCCCUCACAGAGCUCACAUUAUAGUGGUAUGAGAUGGUGGGGAACAUAAUGUACAAGUCAACAAAUAAAAGAAUUUCAACUGGAGAUAAGUGCUGUGAACAAAAUUGAACAAGGUAUUGUGAUAAUGACUAGAGGGGCUCUUUUGGCUGGUCUAGCAAGGGAAGACCUCUUUGAGGAGAGACCUGAAGGAUGAGAAGAGCCACCGACGGAGCCUUCUGGCUAAAGGAAGAGCAAGGGGCAAAGGCCAUGAGUGUGCACUGUUCGAGGUACAGAGGGAAGGCGUGUGUGUCUGCAGGGUGGUGGGUGAGGGGAAGAUGGAUGGUAGACAAAGAUGAAGAGGUUGACAACAUGAAAUUGAUGAGUUUUCAUCUGGGCAAUCCAGUGACUCAAUCUGGUUUAUAUUUUUAAAAGAGCAUCCAGGCUGUUACCUGGAGAAUGACUUGGAGGGAUUAAGAGUAGAAGUAAGAUAAUCAACAAGGCUUGGCCAGGUGGGAAAUAAUGGUGGUCUAGAUCAGACAGUAGCCAUGGAGACUUAGAGAAGUCACUGGAUUCAGGAUAUAUUUUGGAAGCAGAAGAAACAGGACCUGUUGAGCAAUUAGACCUAGGCAUUUGGGGUGGUGCUGGUGGUGGUACUAGGUGAAGGGAAAGCAGAAAUUGAGGAUGACCACUCAGGCUGGGGCUUGAACAGCCAGUAGGUUGUGGUAUCUUUUACGUUGUUUGUUGA